This 940-nucleotide long non-coding RNA is filed under the name Linum usitatissimum (flax). RNAcentral's name for it is "long non-coding RNA (LUSI_LNC003684)". Lineage: Eukaryota; Viridiplantae; Streptophyta; Magnoliopsida; Malpighiales; Linaceae. The record is from RNAcentral.
AGCGCAGGAGUCACGAUGGGAAAGAUGCAGCAGAGCUGCUGAGUUCAUCAUUUUGCUCUGAAUCUGAAUAUCUCUGAGUUCGAUUUUCAGUUUAUCUUUUUCUUUUCUGGAUGAAUACUUUCCGGGUGAUCUCAAUAUGCUUCUGAAUAAGUGCGAUUCAUGAGCAGGUUUGAUAUUAUUUUACAGCAUUUGACUAAUUGAAGGAAAUCCAUCCUAUUUGAUUGUAGGAUUAAGAUGAUGAUGAUGAUGAUGAUACCAAUGCUCUGAGGAGUGAUAUUCUUAUACCAUAUUCCCAGGAACCGGUUUCUUGAUCUCAGCGGGCUAAAAAAUCCCAACUCAAAUCUUCCUCCUGCUGAAGCUAGCAUCUCACCAUCUAUCAGGGUCUCGCCUGGUUUAAGGGUAUCCUGAGCACUACAAGUUGUUGAGAAGUGGAAUAUGAAGGCGCAUACAAGCACUAUUAUGCCUGCCAUAAGCCUUCUAUGUGAUUCAACAGAUUCAAAUGCAUAAGAACAAUACUAUGUACGUGAAGAAAGAGGGAAAUUAUAAAGAAGUGAGAAAUGAAGCGGGAUUCCAAAUUGUUGAUCUGUCAGCAUGCAGAAGACAAAGUUGACCAAGCUGCUAAAAUAAUUUGUAAGUCAACAAACAAAGUUCCUGGCAGUUUCCCAUUUAAAGAUUAUCUUAGUUUACCUUCCUUGCUAGAAUUUUCAUGGACAAAGAUGUUUUGUGAUUUUCAAUGAGACAAUGACGUGUUUGGCAUAACAGUGCUGGUCAUGGUUGAAGUUUAAAUGUACUGUCAAGGUCCAGAGAAAUAGGCUAAUGUUUUUGUCCUAAUUUUCAAUUAGGUUCUUACUCUUUCAUUUAAUAUUAUAAUUACAAUAAUGAGACUAAUAUAAUUGUUAUUACAAUUGAACCAAAAUAUCUGACUAUCUCCAUCUCUUAG